GCUCGGCUAGCUCAGUUGGUUAGAGCGUCGUACUAAUAUUCUUCCCGCAAGGAAAAUAUCAAGUUAUGCGAAGGUCCUCAGUUCAAUCCUGUGGCUGAGCA
Non-coding RNA from Pestalotiopsis sp. NC0098, 101 nucleotides. NCBI's taxonomy places the organism in Eukaryota, Fungi, Ascomycota, Sordariomycetes, Amphisphaeriales, Sporocadaceae. The record is from the annotation of a GenBank genome assembly.